Molecule: ribosomal RNA, 497 nt
Filed under: uncultured bacterium
Lineage: Bacteria
Description: partial 16S ribosomal RNA
Rfam family: Bacterial small subunit ribosomal RNA
Source: RNAcentral
GAUGAACGCUGGCGACGUGCCUAAUACAUGCAAGUAGAACGCUGAAGCUUGGUGCUUGCACCGAGCGGAUGAGUUGCGAACGGGUGAGUAACGCGUAGGUAACCUGCCUCUUAGCGGGGGAUAACUAUUGGAAACGAUAGCUAAUACCGCAUAAAAGUCGAUAUCGCAUGAUAUUGAUUUGAAAGGUGCAAUUGCAUCACUAAGAGAUGGACCUGCGUUGUAUUAGCUAGUUGGUGAGGUAACGGCUCACCAAGGCGACGAUACAUAGCCGACCUGAGAGGGUGAUCGGCCACACUGGGACUGAGACACGGCCCAGACUCCUACGGGAGGCAGCAGGAGGGAAUCUUCGGCAAUGGGGGCAACCCUGACCGAGCAACGCCGCGUGAGUGAAGAAGGUUUUCGGAUCGUAAAGCUCUGUUGUAAGAGAAGAACGAGUGUGAGAGUGGAAAGUUCACACUGUGACGGUAACUUACCAGAAAGGGACGGCUAACUACGUG